RNAcentral lists this ribosomal RNA (308 nucleotides) under Dolomiaea berardioidea. Its description in RNAcentral is "eukaryotic LSU rRNA". The record is from RNAcentral. Lineage: Eukaryota; Viridiplantae; Streptophyta; Magnoliopsida; Asterales; Asteraceae.
AGUUGCGCCCGAAGCCAUUCGGCCGAGGGCACGUCUGCCUGGGCGUCACGCAUCGCGUGGUCCCCGACCACGCCUCCCUCAUGGGGAUGCGUUUCGUCAGGGGCGGAGACUGGUCUCCCGUGCCCAUGACGCGGUUGGCCUAAAUAGGAGUCCCCUUCGACGGACGCACGGCUAGUGGUGGUUGUCAAGGCCUUCGUAUCGAGCCGUGCGGACGCAAGGGAAACGCUCUCCAAAGACCCCAACGUGUCGUCUUGCGACGAUGCUUCGACUGCGACCCCAGGUCAGGCGGGACUACCCGCUGAGUUUAA